RNAcentral lists this long non-coding RNA (606 nucleotides) under Nicotiana benthamiana. Its description in RNAcentral is "long non-coding RNA (NBEN_LNC042292)". Lineage: Eukaryota; Viridiplantae; Streptophyta; Magnoliopsida; Solanales; Solanaceae. The record is from RNAcentral.
UUUUGUGUGAGCCUUGCCUUGGGACCUUUGAGAUCUCUCUGAACUUGGUCACAUAAGAGCUGGCCCUUCUACACUGCACUCACUCUGCCUUGGCUAUGAAAUCUAGGUGUGAGCGUUGUUCGAGAUUCCUUGAAGUCCUUAGAGAACUCUGACACACCUAGAUAUGAAGGAAAUCUAUGAACAAUAUUGGCAUUUGAGGUGGUUUAUUACAUAUUUCACAUAGGAAGUCCAAAUCAAGCUUCAUGUAGUUGCAACUUCUUAUUUUUAAUUUAUGCUCAUGUAAUUCAAUCACAUGGUAUGUAAUAAUUUAUAAACAAGUAUUGGGGUGGCUAGUGAAAAGGGAUAGGGUAAACAUGCAUGCUAUAAUUUGUUAAAGGUAGAAAACGUGUUAGUAGGGUUAUAUUCCGUGCUCUUAGGUAUCGUGUUUAUUGUUUCAUAUUUGAUUCAGAUCUAUCAGGAGGAGUCCCCUCUUGAGAUUGUCGACGAGAGUUUUGUGGUGAGGGGGAUGGAGUUCCAUCACCUUGUUGAUUUUGCUGAUUCAACAGAUGUUGUUGACUUUCUUGGUUUUAUUGGUUGUUGUCGUUGACAUUCGACAUAAUUUUUGGC